Molecule: ribosomal RNA, 253 nt
Filed under: uncultured bacterium
Lineage: Bacteria
Description: partial 16S ribosomal RNA
Rfam family: Bacterial small subunit ribosomal RNA
Source: RNAcentral
UACGGGGGGGGCAAGCGUUGUUCGGAAUUACUGGGCGUAAAGGGCUCGUAGGUGGCCAACUAAGUCGGACGUGAAAUCCCUCGGCUUAACCGGGGAACUGCGUCUGAUACUGGAUGGCUUGGAUUUGGGAGAGGGAUGCGGAAUUCCAGGUGUAGCGGUGAAAUGCGUAGAUAUCUGGAGGAACACCGGUGGCGAAGGCGGCAUCCUGGACCAAUAUUGACGCUGAGGAGCGAAAGCCAGGGGAGCAAACGGG